GGCCGCGUGGUGUAAUGGUUGCACACUCUCACAAAUACUACUCUUAUAUCAUUACUGUUUCUUUCCUCCUGAUGAGAGAGGGGCAGGUUCGAUUCCUGCCGUGACCA
This 107-nucleotide transfer RNA is filed under the name Eutypa lata. Its description in RNAcentral is "tRNA-Ile". It matches the Rfam family "tRNA". From Rfam's summary of the family: Transfer RNA (tRNA) molecules are approximately 80 nucleotides in length. Their secondary structure includes four short double-helical elements and three loops (D, anti-codon, and T loops). The record is from RNAcentral. Lineage: Eukaryota; Fungi; Ascomycota; Sordariomycetes; Xylariales; Diatrypaceae.